UACGGAGGAUGCGAGCGUUAUCCGGAUUUAUUGGGUUUAAAGGGUGCGUAGGCGGAGGGGUAAGUCAGCGGUGAAACUCAGGUGCUCAACACCUGCCGUGCCGUUGAUACUGCUUUUCUGGAAUGCGGAUGCUGUGGGAGGAAUGUGUGGUGUAGCGGUGAAAUGCAUAGAUAUCACACAGAACACCGAUUGCGAAGGCAUCUCACAAAUCCGUGAUUGACGCUGAGGCACGAAAGUGCGGGGAU
This 245-nucleotide ribosomal RNA is filed under the name uncultured Bacteroidales bacterium. Its description in RNAcentral is "partial 16S ribosomal RNA". It matches the Rfam family "Bacterial small subunit ribosomal RNA", at positions 524 to 768 of the family's 1533-position model. The record is from RNAcentral. Lineage: Bacteria; Pseudomonadati; Bacteroidota; Bacteroidia; Bacteroidales.